GACGAACGCUAGCGGCGUGCUUAACACAUGCAAGUCGAACGGAAAGGCCCUGCUUUUGUGGGGUGCUCGAGUGGCGAACGGGUGAGUAACACGUGAGUAACCUGCCCUUGACUUUGGGAUAACUUCAGGAAACUGGGGCUAAUACCGGAUAGGAGCUCCUGCUGCAUGGUGGGGGUUGGAAAGUUUCGGCGGUUGGGGAUGGACUCGCGGCUUAUCAGCUUGUUGGUGGGGUAGUGGCUUACCAAGGCUUUGACGGGUAGCCGGCCUGAGAGGGUGACCGGCAACAUUGGGACUGAGAUACGGCCCAGACUCCUACGGGAGGCAGCAGUGGGGAAUAUUGCACAAUGGGCGGAAGCCUGAUGCAGCAACGCCGCGUGCGGGAUGACGGCCUUCGGGUUGUAAACCGCUUUCGCCUGUGACGAAGCGUGAGUGACGGUAAUGGGUAAAGAAGCACCGGCUAACUACGUG
RNAcentral lists this ribosomal RNA (468 nucleotides) under uncultured bacterium. RNAcentral's name for it is "partial 16S ribosomal RNA". It matches the Rfam family "Bacterial small subunit ribosomal RNA", at positions 28 to 507 of the family's 1533-position model. The record is from RNAcentral.